CCUACGGGUGGCAGCAGUGAGGAAUAUUGGUCAAUGGACGAGAGUCUGAUCCAGCCAAGUAGCGUGAAGGAUGACUGCCCUAUGGGUUGUAAACUUCUUUUAUAUGGGAAUAAAAUGUUCCACGUGUGGGAUUUUGUAUGUCCCAUAUGAAUACGGAUCGGCUAACUCUGUGCCAGCAGCCGCGGUAAUACGGAGGAGCCGAGCGUUAUCCGGAUUUAUUGGGUUUAAAGGGAGCGUAGGUGGAUUGUUAAGUCAGUAGUGAAAGUUUGCGGCUCAACCGUAGAAUUGCAGUUGAAACUGGCAGUCGUGAGUACAGGAGAGGUGGGCGGAAUUCGUGGUGUAGCGGUGAAAUGCUUAGAUAUCACGAAGAACUCCGAUUGCGAAGGCAGCUCACUGGACUGCAACUGACACUGAGGCUCGAAAGUGUGGGUAGCAAACAGGAUUAGAUACCCGAGUAGUC
RNAcentral lists this ribosomal RNA (460 nucleotides) under uncultured bacterium. RNAcentral's name for it is "partial 16S ribosomal RNA". It matches the Rfam family "Bacterial small subunit ribosomal RNA", at positions 338 to 795 of the family's 1533-position model. The record is from RNAcentral.